RNAcentral lists this ribosomal RNA (354 nucleotides) under Triticum aestivum (bread wheat). RNAcentral's name for it is "partial small subunit ribosomal RNA". Lineage: Eukaryota; Viridiplantae; Streptophyta; Magnoliopsida; Poales; Poaceae. The record is from RNAcentral.
AUGGAGAGACAAGUGUAGGAAAUGUUGGAUAGUGGCAUUAUCAGACAUAGUAACAGUCCAUUCUCCUCCCCUAUGAUAAUGGUACAAAACAAGGACACCACCUGGAGACCAGUGGUUGACUAUAUACACUUGAAUAAUAUUACUGUUAAGAGCAAAUACCCUAUACCCGUUAUAGAUGAGCUUUUGGAUGAGCUGGCUGGAUCUCAUUGGUUCUCUAAACUGGACCUUAGGGCUGGGUUUCACCAAAUUAGGAUGGCACCAGGGGAAGAAUAUAAGACUGCAUUCCGGACACAUUUGGGCGAUUAUGAGUUCCUGAUCAUGUCAUUUGGUCUCACUGGAGGCCCAAAUACUUUU